Molecule: ribosomal RNA, 1242 nt
Filed under: metagenome
Description: bacterial LSU rRNA
Rfam family: Bacterial large subunit ribosomal RNA
Source: RNAcentral
UGAUGACGAGACGCUAAGGCGUUGAAGCAGUGUAUGUCAGACUUCCAAGAAAAGCUCGCAAUGUCACAAAUAAGAAAUGCCUGUACCAUAACCGACACAGGUGGGUAGGUAGAGUAUACUAAGGGGCGCGAGAUAACUCUCUCUAAGGAACUCGGCAAUGACUCCGUAACUUCGGGAGAAGGAGUGCCUUAUUUAUAAGGUUGCAAUAACAAGAUCCAAGCAACUGUUUAUCAAAAACACAGGUCUCCGCUAAGUCGUAAGACGAUGUAUGGGGGCUGACGCCUGCCCAGUGCCAGAAGGUUAAAGAAGUUGGUUAGUGUAUGCGAAGCUGAUGACUGAAGCCCUGGUGAACGGCGGCCGUAACAAUAACGGUCCUAAGGCAGCGAAAUUCCUUGUCGGGUAAGUUCCGACCCGCACGAAAGGCGUAAUGAUUUGGAUACUGUCUCGGAGAGAGGCUCGGUGAAAUAGACUUGUCUGUGAAGAUGCGGACUACCUGCACCAGGACAGAAAGACCCUAUGAAGCUUUACUGUAACUUGAAAUUGGAAUUGGACUUUGCUUGCGCAGUAUAGGUGGGAAGCGUUGAAAAUAUUCUUGCGGGAGUAUUGGAGCUAUCAGUGAGAUACCACUCUUGUAAUGUUAGAUUUCUAACUUUGAACCAUAAUCUGGUCAAAGAACAGUUUCAGGUGGGCAGUUUGACUGGGGCGGUCGCCUCCCAAAUGGUAACGGAGGCGUACAAAGGUUUCCUCUGAACGGAUAGAAAUCGUAUCUAGAGUGUAAAGGCAUAAGGAAGCUUGACUGUGAGACCUACAAGUCGAGCAGGGACGAAAGUCGGUCUUAGUGAUCUGACGGUACUGAGUGGAAAGGCCGUCACUCAACGGAUAAAAGUUACUCUAGGAUAACAGGCUGAUCUCCCCCAAGAGUUCACAUCGACGGGGAGGUUUGGCACCUCGAUGUCGGCUCAUCGCAUCCUGGGGCGGUAGUACGUCCCAAGGGUUGGGCUGUUCGCCCAUGAAAGCGGUACGCGAGCUGGGUUCAGAACGUCGUGAGACAGUUCGGUCCAUAUCCGGUGUAGGCGCUAGAAUAUUGAGAGGAGCCUUCUUUAGUACGAGAGGACCGAGAAGGACACACCGCUGGUGUACCAGUUAUCGUGCCAACGGUAAACGCUGGGUAGCUAUGUGUGGAGUGGAUAACCGCUGAAAGCAUCUAAGUGGGAAGCCCACCUCGAGAUGAGUAUUCUCAUC